Molecule: ribosomal RNA, 506 nt
Filed under: uncultured bacterium
Lineage: Bacteria
Description: partial 16S ribosomal RNA
Rfam family: Bacterial small subunit ribosomal RNA
Source: RNAcentral
AUUGAACGCUGGCGGCAUGCCUAACACAUGCAAGUCGAACGGCAGCACGGUCUAGUUUACUAGAUGGGUGGCGAGUGGCGGACGGGUGAGUAAUGCGCCGGAAUAUGCCUUAAAGAGGGGGAUAACUUGGGGAAACUCAAGCUAAUACCGCAUCAUCUGUAUGGAGAAAAGCUGUGGACCUUCGGGCCUGGCGCUCUCAGAUUAGCCUGCGUCCGAUUAGCUAGUUGGUCGGGUAAAGGCCUACCAAGGCGACGAUCUGUCGCUGGUCUGAGAGGAUGACCAGCCAGACUGGAACUGAGACACGGUACAGACUCCUACGGGAGGCAGCAGUGGGGAAUAUUGGACAAGGGGUGCAACCCUGAUCCAGCAAUGCCGCGUGUGUGAAGAAGGCCUGAGGGUUGUAAAGCACUUUCAGUGGGGAGGAGGAUUGCUAGGUUAAGAGCUAGGUAAUUGGACGUUACCCACAGAAGAAGCACCGGCUAACUCCGUGCCAGCCGCCGCGGUAA